Molecule: ribosomal RNA, 362 nt
Filed under: uncultured bacterium
Lineage: Bacteria
Description: partial 16S ribosomal RNA
Rfam family: Bacterial small subunit ribosomal RNA
Source: RNAcentral
CCUACGGGCGGCAGCAGUGAGGAAUCUUGGUCAAUGGCCGGAAGGCUGAACGAGCCAAGCCGCGUGAGGGACGACUGCUCUAUGGGUUGUAAACUUCUUUUUUAAGGGAAGAAUAAAUGCUACGUGUAGAGUGAACCCUGUAACUGAUGCAUAAGCAUCGGCUAAAGCCGUGUCAGCAGCCGCGGUAAUACGGAGGCUGCGAGCGUUAUCCGGAUUUAUUGGGUUUAAAGGGUGCGUAGGCGGUUAGUUAAGUUAGUGGUUAAACGUCGUGGCUUAACCUUGAUUUGCCAUUGAUACUGUAUGACUUGAGUGCAGGCGGGGUGAGUGGAAUAAGAUGAGUAGCGGUGAAAUGCUUAGAUAUA